This 431-nucleotide unclassified non-coding RNA is filed under the name soil metagenome. Its description in RNAcentral is "partial contains 5.8S ribosomal RNA, internal transcribed spacer 2, and large subunit ribosomal RNA". The stretch from base 1 to 119 matches the Rfam family "5.8S ribosomal RNA", at positions 35 to 154 of the family's 154-position model. The record is from RNAcentral.
GAUGAAGACGUAGCGAAAUGCGAUACGUAAUGUGAAUUGCAGAAUUCAGUGAAUCAUCGAAUCUUUGAACGCAUAUUGCGCUCUCUGGUAUUCCGGAGAGCAUGCUUGUUUGAGUAUCAGUAAACACCUCAACUUCCAUAUCUUUUUUGAAAUGGGAGUUGGACUUGAGUGAUCCCAACGCUUUUCCUCACCGAAAAGUGGCGGGUUACUUGAAAUGCAGGUGCAGCUGGACUUUUCUCUGAGCUAUAAGCAUAUCUAUUUAGUCUGCCUAAAAACAGAUUAUUACCUUUGCUGCAGCUAACAUAAAGGAGAUUAGUUCUUGUGCUGACUGAUGCAGGAUUCACAAAGACAGGCUUCGGCCGACUUUGUAAACUCGAUCUCAAAUCAAGUAAGACUACCCGCUGAACUUAAGCAUAUCAAUAAGCGGAGGA